CAGUAGCCGCGGUAAUUCGGAAGGUCCAGGUGUUAUCCGGAUUUAUUGGGUUUAAAGGGAGCGUAGGUCGCAGGUUAAGUGUGUUGUGAAAAGCAGUCGCCCAACGUCUGCCUUGCAGCGCAAACUGUCCUGCUUGAGUGCGCACAACGCAGGCGGAAUUCGUCGUGUAGCGGUGAAAUGCUUAGAUAUGACGAAGAACUCCGAUUGCGAAGGCAGCUUGCGGGAGCGCAACUGACGCUGAAGCUCGAAAGUGCGGGUAUCGAACAGGAUUAGAUACCCCCGUAGUCCCUGUCUCUUAUAA
This 301-nucleotide ribosomal RNA is filed under the name uncultured bacterium. Its description in RNAcentral is "partial 16S ribosomal RNA". It matches the Rfam family "Bacterial small subunit ribosomal RNA", at positions 509 to 809 of the family's 1533-position model. The record is from RNAcentral.